CGAAAAUGCCGGAUAGGAUUUCGUUAGAGGCGUCAUGUCACCGAAAGGCUGGCCGAGCAACGACUCAAGAAUCGGGGAGAUAGGGGAAAACGUCUGUGAAAUGCCUCCCCAAGGUCGGUGAUUCGGCCAGAGACGAUUCCGUCAGAAGCGAUUCAGAGAGAGAAGCAGGAGGGAGGCUGAGAUCCAUCACGGAGGGAGGCGACGAUUUAAGGGAAAAAGUUAGGGUUUCCAACCGAUGGACUAGAAACGAAUGAGGGAGGCGAUUUGAGGGAGAGAGUUAAGGUUUUCAGUCGGUAGACUAGAAAUGAAGGAGGGAGGUGACACCUUAGGGUUUCGGGCUCAAAGGGAGGCGGCGAUUUGAAGAAGGUGGCGCCUUAAGGCUUCGGGCUUAGAGGCAGGCAACGAUUUUUUGUAGGCGGCGAUUUGAGAGAGGACCCUCGGAUUAGGGCUUGACACAGAUGAAGAAGAAGGAUGGAGAUGAUGCCUCAUUGGUUUCCAGAAUUUAGGCUAGCAAGAGACUUUAUUAUAGUCUUGCCACUUGUUAAGUUAAUUUCUUUUAAGGGGUAAUUGCCCCUAAAUACAUAAACUUUCAUAAAUUUCUGAAAUUGCACACCACCUUUAAAUUCAGCCCCACAAUACAUAAACUUUGAUAUCUUUCUAAUUUUUCCCAUGGCACCGGAAAUCCCAAAUGAAGAGAUGACGUGGACGCCGGAUUGUCUACGUGGACUCGCCGGACGCCACGUGGAAACGACGUCGUCCUUAUUUAAUAGGAAACGACGUCGUUUCCAACUUAAAGCCCAAAUUGAAGAUUAAUUCCCCUCUUCCCUGUUGAUCGUUCAAGCCCUAAUCACCCUAAAUUGAAAUCCCAUCUUCGAGAACCAGAUAAGAAGACGCCUUAAUUGCGAGAUUAUGUGCUCAAGGGAGAAAGACUCGAGAAGGGAGAAGGGAGCAGGGCGAGUUGAGCGUCUUCGGUGCAGGAGCCUGAUUUUCGCGAGAGCCCUAAUUUUUCCGAGAAGGAGCGAGCGUCUUCUGUGAAGAAGCGAGCGUCGAUUUCGAGUAGGGAGGAGGAAACUCGAGUUGCAGGGAAUCGAUUUGCAACUGAAUAAAGCAGGGAGAAGAGUGCAGGGACUCGAUUUUUAGGAUAUUGUCUCUCAAACAUGCCGAACUCUUCGAGCUCGAGGGAUUCGAUUGGGUUUGUGAAAUUGUGUGGGCAUGGCUCCCUUCUCCUUGCUUCCUUCACCCUGCUCUCUCAUGCCUCCCUUCUAAUUUGAAAGCACAAGUACAAAUUUCAGUUUCCUGCGAAUUUCAGAAGCUCGCGAAUUUGGUGUCUUCUUCGAAUUAGGGCUCUGCUCGAGUCCUUCGACUCUGGUUCUUCAAUGCCUGCCGACGCAGCUCUUAACAGACGCAAUAGGGCUCGCGACUUCGCGAAGCUGGUUCUUGAAUCUCCAUGGUCGACGAUUUCAGAAGCUCGCACUCAGAGAAGACAGGGAAGACGACAGACGCGGGCUUGAACUGGAAAGAGAAGAGGGAAUAUUCACGUUUUUUUUGGAGAAAUGGGAGAGGAAAUUUCAGACUUGAUUUUUGGUUUUUGGGAGAUUACCAUUCACGACGUCGUUUUUUAAUUUUCGUUUCCACGUGGCGUCCGGCGAGUCCACGUAGACAAUCUGGCGUCCACGUCAUCUCUUUAUUUGGGGAUUUCCGGUGCCAUGGGAAAAAUCAGAAAGAUAUCAAAGUUUAUGUAUUGUGGGGCUGAAUUUAAAGGUGGUGUGCAAUUCCAGAAAUUUAUGAAAGUUUAUG
Molecule: long non-coding RNA, 1797 nt
Filed under: Salvia miltiorrhiza (redroot sage)
Lineage: Eukaryota; Viridiplantae; Streptophyta; Magnoliopsida; Lamiales; Lamiaceae
Description: long non-coding RNA (SMIL_LNC001957)
Source: RNAcentral